CCUUAUAGUCCUAAAAUCAGAGCCCAACAACAUACCAACCCAAGUUGCCAAUUUCUCUUUGUAGGACUGCUCUGCUUUUGUCACUCUGUUUUUUCUUGGGGAAAGUGAAUUAAAACUUCUUCUCUUCAUAAAACCUGUGUCUCUCUGGAAGCUUAGUUAAGUGUGUGAAGUGUUGGAAAAUGUAUGCUGAGGCUGGUCUUUUGUUCCCUUACUUUCAGAAUUUCUCUCAGGAAGUUCAACAACUUGAGGAAUACUGUAAAACCCAGAAGUGCAAUGCUUCAAUGGGCAACCUGGUUCAGACCUCCACUAUCUUGGAAUAUGACUUGGGAGGAGAAGGGGAUCUUUUCAAAGCUCCAGAACCCAUCAUUGAAGAACCAGUUGUGAGCCUUGAUCCCAUGACAGCUGCCAUGUCAAUUAUAUCUUGUGGGGAGGAUGUCAUCUCCACCCAAGGGCUCAAGGUUGCAGACAUUGAAUCACUUCGAAAUGAGCAGCUUUUGAAUGAGGUUUUCUAUGAGUGCAGGAAGGAUCUCUUGGAAAAAGCAGCCAUAGAAGCUCCACUCUCUGAUGGGAUGGAUACCAAAAUUCCUUUUAUGACGGCAGAUGAAAACCAAAUUCAAGAAAACAAACCAUUUCCUGAUAUACCAUUCCAGAAAAGUGUCAGCUCAGAAUGUUUAAGCUCAAUGGACUGGAUGCAUGGAGCUGCAAUGAAACCAAGUUUCCUGGAUUUUCCUGGAAUGGAUUUUGGUACAGUUUAUGGAAUGCGGAGGGCAUUUAGCGAAGGAGACAUUAAGGAUGGGGCUGGGUCAUUGAUACUGAGUUUUUAUGACAGGCUCUUGGUAAUGGCAUGAGCCUCAUCCCCUCUCCUCAUGAGCGGCCAUUAACAAUUAGCAACUGCACUACUGAAGAGCGCCAGGAAAAGCUUUCCAGAUAUAGGAAUAAGAAGACAAAGAGGAACUUUGGCAGGAAAAUCAAGUAUGCUUGCAGGAAGGCUCUUGCUGACAGUCAACCAAGGAUCCGUGGAAGGUUUGCAAAGACUGAAGAAUCUGAUGGAAAGAGGUAAUAACUGUUAACUAAUUCAGUUUGAGGGAGCAUAGAAAAGAAGCAGCUAGGUCCAUGAAGUAAUGAAAGAGAUAGCAUACCCUGGAAAAUAGAACUUGGAGUCAAUGUUAAGUUUGAACAGGUAUAACUCAAUAAACAAGACCCCUACUAUUGUAGCCUUGAUCUCUUUAUUUGUAGUAAUAACUGCCUAGUAGACUGAAGUGCACGAGUAGGUUUGUAUAUAAGGUUUGCUAAAAUAAGAGGGGAAGCAAAAAUUUGUACUUGUUCAUAUAUAUGUUAUGUAAUGGCAAUGUACUCAUCUCUUUAUUCA
Quercus robur (English oak) is the source of this 1369-nucleotide RNA transcript. It is a transcript of the gene named zinc finger protein CONSTANS-LIKE 3, with no coding region annotated. The record is from RefSeq and is a predicted model, not a curated record. The transcript is spliced from 4 exons. NCBI's taxonomy places the organism in Eukaryota, Viridiplantae, Streptophyta, Magnoliopsida, Fagales, Fagaceae.